This 497-nucleotide ribosomal RNA is filed under the name uncultured bacterium. RNAcentral's name for it is "partial 16S ribosomal RNA". It matches the Rfam family "Bacterial small subunit ribosomal RNA", at positions 28 to 507 of the family's 1533-position model. The record is from RNAcentral.
GAUGAACGCUGGCGGCGUGCCUAAUACAUGCAAGUCGAGCGAACAGACGAGGAGCUUGCUCCUCUGACGUUAGCGGCGGACGGGUGAGUAACACGUGGAUAACCUACCUAUAAGACUGGGAUAACUUCGGGAAACCGGAGCUAAUACCGGAUAAUAUAUUGAACCGCAUGGUUCAAUAGUGAAAGACGGUUUUGCUGUCACUUAUAGAUGGAUCCGCGCCGCAUUAGCUAGUUGGUAAGGUAACGGCUUACCAAGGCAACGAUGCGUAGCCGACCUGAGAGGGUGAUCGGCCACACUGGAGCUGAGACACGGUCCAGAGUCCUACGGGAGGCAGCAGUAGGGUAUCUUCCGCAAUGGGCGAAAGCCUGACGGAGCAACGCGGCGUGAGUGAUGACGGUCUUCGGAUCGUGAAGCUCUGUUAUUAGGGAAGAACAAAUGUGUACGUAACUAUGCACGUCUUGACAGUACCUGAUCAGAAAGCCACGGCUAACUACGUG